CCUACGGGUGGCUGCAGUAGGGAAUUUUGCGCAAUGGGCGAAAGCCUGACGCAGCAACGCCGCGUGAUCGAGACGCCCUUCGGGGUGUAAAGAUCUGUCAGUGGGGACGAAACUUGACGGUACCCACAGAGGAAGCACCGGCUAACUCCGUGCCAGCAGCCGCGGUAAUACGGGGGGUGCAAGCGUUGUCCGGAAUCAUUGGGCGUAAAGGGUGCGUAGGCGGUUAUACAAGUUAGAAGUGAAAUACCCAGGGCUUAACUCGGGUGCUGCUUCUAAAACUGUAAGACUUGAGUGCAGUAGAGGUUAGUGGAAUUCCUAGUGUAGCGGUGGAAUGCGUAGAUAUUAGGAGGAACACCAGAGGCGAAGGCGGCUAACUGGACUGCAACUGACGCUGAGGCACGAAAGUGUGGGGAGCAAACAGGAUUAGAUACCCCUGUAGUC
RNAcentral lists this ribosomal RNA (441 nucleotides) under uncultured bacterium. RNAcentral describes it as "partial 16S ribosomal RNA". It matches the Rfam family "Bacterial small subunit ribosomal RNA", at positions 338 to 795 of the family's 1533-position model. The record is from RNAcentral.